This 66-nucleotide transfer RNA is filed under the name Bolitoglossa n. sp. RLM-2004. Its description in RNAcentral is "tRNA-Cys". Lineage: Eukaryota; Metazoa; Chordata; Amphibia; Caudata; Plethodontidae. The record is from RNAcentral.
GGCCCGGUAAUGUAUUAGCAUGUAAGAUUGCAAGUCUUAUAGUGAGGCGUAGAUCCUCCGGGGCUU